RNAcentral lists this ribosomal RNA (253 nucleotides) under uncultured bacterium. RNAcentral's name for it is "partial 16S ribosomal RNA". It matches the Rfam family "Bacterial small subunit ribosomal RNA", at positions 524 to 776 of the family's 1533-position model. The record is from RNAcentral.
UACAGAGGUCUCCAGCGUUGUUCGGAUUCAUUGGGCGUAAAGGGUGCGUUGGUGGCGCCGUAAGUCAGGUGUGAAAUUUCGGAGCUUAACUCCGAAACUGCAUUUGAUACUGCGGUGCUUGAGGACUGGAGAGGAGACUGGAAUUCACGGUGUAGCAGUGAAAUGCGUAGAUAUCGUGAGGAAGACCAGUGGCGAAGGCGGGUCUCUGGACAGUUCCUGACACUGAGGCACGAAGGCCAGGGGAGCAAACAGG